UACGAAGGACCCGAGCGUUAUCCGGAUUUAUUGGGUUUAAAGGGUGCGUAGGCGGAUUAGUAAGUCAGUGGUGAAAGCCCAUCGCUUAACGGUGGAAUUGCCAUUGAUACUGCUAGUCUUGAGUAUGGUUGAGGUGGGCGGAAUGUGUCAUGUAGCGGUGAAAUGCUUAGAUAUGACAUAGAACACCAAUUGCGAAGGCAGCUCACUACUCGAUCAUUGACGCUGAUGCACGAAAGCGUGGGGAUCAAACAGG
This 253-nucleotide ribosomal RNA is filed under the name uncultured bacterium. RNAcentral describes it as "partial 16S ribosomal RNA". It matches the Rfam family "Bacterial small subunit ribosomal RNA", at positions 524 to 776 of the family's 1533-position model. The record is from RNAcentral.